This is a long non-coding RNA of Acanthopagrus latus (yellowfin seabream), 164 nucleotides long. RefSeq lists it as uncharacterized. Lineage: Eukaryota; Metazoa; Chordata; Actinopteri; Spariformes; Sparidae. The record is from RefSeq and is a predicted model, not a curated record. The transcript has 3 exons.
GUCAGCAUUUCAUUUGUGUGUGCGUCUGUCAGUGCAGGUGCAGGUCUAUCAAGGUCUCACUCGGCCGUCUUCACUUGUCAAGGCAUUACCAUAGAGAUGGCAGGCAGCUGUUUGUACUUAAACACAGUCCACCAUGGAGCAUGUAAGGCACAAGAUCAGAAGAA